AGAAUCAACGCUGGCGGCGUGCCUAACACAUGCAAGUCGAACGAGAAAGUGGGAGCAAUCCCACGAGUAAAGUGGCGCACGGGUGAGUAACACGUGACUAACCUACCCUUGAGUGGGGGAUAACCUAGGGAAACCUGGGCUAAUACCGCAUAAUACCUACGGGUCAAAGGAGCAAUUCGCUUAAGGAGGGGGUCGCGGCAGAUUAGUUAGUUGGCGGGGUAAUGGCCCACCAAGACAGUGAUCUGUAUCCGGCCUGAGAGGGCGCACGGACACACUGGAACUGAAACACGGUCCAGACUCCUACGGGAGGCAGCAGUGGGGAAUUUUGCGCAAUGGGGGAAACCCUGACGCAGCAACGCCGCGUGGAGGAUGAAGCCCCUUGGGGCGUAAACUCCUUUCGAUCGGAAGAUAAUGACGGUACCGGAAGAAGAAGCCCCGGCUAACUUCGUGCCAGCAGCCGC
Molecule: ribosomal RNA, 461 nt
Filed under: uncultured bacterium
Lineage: Bacteria
Description: SSU rRNA
Rfam family: Bacterial small subunit ribosomal RNA
Source: RNAcentral